GACAGAGGUGGCAAGCGUUGUUCGGAUUCAUUGGGUGUAAAGGGUCCGUAGGUGGCCCAUUAAGUCUGACGUGAAAUCCCAGAGCUCAACUCUGGAACUGCGUUGGAGACUAUUGGGCUUGAGUGCCGGAGAGGUUAGGGGAAUUCCAGGUGUAAGGGUGAAAUCUGUAGGUAUCUGGAGGAACACCGGUGGCGAAGGCGCCUAACUGGCCGGUUACUGACACUGAGGGACGAAAGCAAGGGGAGCAAACAGGAUUAGAAACCCCUGUAGU
Molecule: ribosomal RNA, 271 nt
Filed under: uncultured bacterium
Lineage: Bacteria
Description: partial 16S ribosomal RNA
Rfam family: Bacterial small subunit ribosomal RNA
Source: RNAcentral